Non-coding RNA from Acanthosepion pharaonis, 95 nucleotides. NCBI's taxonomy places the organism in Eukaryota, Metazoa, Mollusca, Cephalopoda, Sepiida, Sepiidae. The record is from the annotation of a GenBank genome assembly.
AUAACCCGGUUCCCGUACGGUCACCGAAGUUAAGCAACGUUGAACCAGGUCAGUACUUAUAUGGGUGACCGCUUGGAAAGGUCAGAUGCUGUAAG